UGCCAGGGUGAGUGAACUUGUAGUU
This 25-nucleotide non-coding RNA is filed under the name Mus musculus (house mouse). Lineage: Eukaryota; Metazoa; Chordata; Mammalia; Rodentia; Muridae. The record is from RNAcentral.